Molecule: transfer RNA, 92 nt
Filed under: Picobiliphyte sp. MS584-11
Lineage: Eukaryota; Picozoa
Description: tRNA-Ser
Rfam family: tRNA
About the family: Transfer RNA (tRNA) molecules are approximately 80 nucleotides in length. Their secondary structure includes four short double-helical elements and three loops (D, anti-codon, and T loops).
Source: RNAcentral
GGAAAGGUGGCUGAGUCAGGUUUAAAGCGAUGCUUUGCUAAAGCAUUGAGCAGUUUUUAGCUGCUCCGCAGGUUCGAAUCCUGUCCUUUCCU